ACUCAAAUGAAUUGACGGGGGCCCGCACAAGCGGUGGAGCAUGUGGUUCAAUUCGACGCAACGCGAAGAACCUUACCUGGGUUUGAACUGCAGGUGACAGCCCCUGAAAGGGGGUUUCCUUCGGGCGCCUGUAGAGGUGCUGCAUGGCUGUCGUCAGCUCGUGUCGUGAGAUGUUGGGUUAAGUCCCGCAACGAGCGCAACCCUUGCCCUCAGUUGCCAGCGGGUUAUGCCGGGAACUCUGAGGGGACUGCCCCGGAAAACGGGGAGGAAGGUGGGGAUGACGUCAAGUCCUCAUGGCCUUUAUGCCCAGGGCUACACACGUGCUACAAUGGGCGGGACAAAGGGUCGCGAUACCGCGAGGUGGAGCUAAUCCCAUAAAACCGUCCUCAGUACGGAUUGCAGUCUGCAACUCGACUGCAUGAAGUUGGAAUCGCUAGUAAUCGCGGAUCAGCACGCCGCGGUGAAUACGUUCCCGGGCCUUGUACACACCGCCCGU
This 496-nucleotide ribosomal RNA is filed under the name uncultured bacterium. RNAcentral describes it as "partial 16S ribosomal RNA". It matches the Rfam family "Bacterial small subunit ribosomal RNA", at positions 899 to 1397 of the family's 1533-position model. The record is from RNAcentral.